GUCAGCAUGCCUGAGUUUUUCCCAGCUCUGGAAAAGAUCACUCCAGUCCCUGCCUGGGACGUGCUGCAGCCCGGGUUGGUAUCUAAGGGCACAGGAAGACGACAGAGCAGCAGCAGCAGCAAUCAAAGGCCCUGCAGUUUGUUGCAAGAUGUUCCUGCUGCUCUUGCUGCGCCUGCCGACACCAGCCCCUGCAGGGGAGAUGCCAGGCUGCAGAAUAAUGUCCGUGUUUCACUCCGGAUCGUCCCAUGCUCUUGGGGGACGGGAAAGGGAAACGACUGCAGUAGCAGCGGCUCAGGAGCCAGUGACCUUCGAGGAGGUGGCUGUGUAUUUCACCGAGGAGG
This is a long non-coding RNA of Mauremys mutica (yellowpond turtle), 341 nucleotides long. RefSeq lists it as uncharacterized. The transcript is spliced from 3 exons. Lineage: Eukaryota; Metazoa; Chordata; Testudines; Geoemydidae. The record is from RefSeq and is a predicted model, not a curated record.